Long non-coding RNA from Papaver somniferum (opium poppy), 569 nucleotides. RefSeq lists it as uncharacterized. The transcript has 5 exons. NCBI's taxonomy places the organism in Eukaryota, Viridiplantae, Streptophyta, Magnoliopsida, Ranunculales, Papaveraceae. The record is from RefSeq and is a predicted model, not a curated record.
AAAAAGGAAUUUAGGAAGACUGGUGGAGAUGAGGAACGAAUGGCAGCCAUUGCAGCUUACAUGAAGCUUAAUUGGCAGGGCCUUCAGAAGAAGGUUGUCUUUGUUACUGUUAUUACAGAUCUCAACACCUUCCAUCGCACAUGGUUCAACACUGGUGUCAACCAAUGCUACUUCCCUUCGGACGAGGUUGCCAAGAGGGCGUUGGUUGAUGGCCUAGAGUCUUCCCAGAUUCGCGUGUUUGGUUUGCCCGUCAGGCCCUCGUUUUUUCGGCUGUAAAGAAAACUGCAAGAGCUCUCGACGAAGCACUAUUCAGUGCAGAACUUGGUAAACCAAUUGGACAGAUCACCAUGGAAAGUCCAGUAAAGGUAAUAGAUCAGAUGAUUCGAGACCCAAAUGGAGAAAUGGAUGGGUGCUUGUGACUGCAUUAUAACCAAAGCUGGACUUGGAACAAUUGCGGAGGCCUUGAUAAGGGGCCUUCCAAUCAUGAAGCAAUGGCUAGGCAGUUGUAUUGCAGGCUCUGGUGUUGUGUUGGUGCAGUCGGUGUGUCCAAGGGCUAGAAAGGUUUUACU